This 133-nucleotide non-coding RNA is filed under the name Actibacterium lipolyticum. Its description in RNAcentral is "Confluentimicrobium lipolyticum FMN sequence". It matches the Rfam family "FMN riboswitch aptamer (RFN element)". From Rfam's summary of the family: The RFN element is a highly conserved domain that is found frequently in the 5'-untranslated regions of prokaryotic mRNAs that encode for flavin mononucleotide (FMN) biosynthesis and transport proteins. This element is a metabolite-dependent riboswitch that directly binds FMN in the absence of proteins. The record is from Rfam by way of RNAcentral. Lineage: Bacteria; Pseudomonadati; Pseudomonadota; Alphaproteobacteria; Rhodobacterales; Roseobacteraceae.
AGCCGUUCUCGGGGCGGGGUGAAAUUCCCCACCGGCGGUUAUAGUCCGCGAGCGCCCUUGCCGAUGUAAGGGGUCAGCAGAGCCGGUGAAAUUCCGGGACCGACGGUUAAAGUCCGGAUGGAAGAGGAUGGUC